CCCAUCUAGGUGCUCUCUCUCUGAUUGACUGGAGGUGUGGGUUCGGUCUGGGGUGUGUCGGCUGCUGAUUAGUCCAACAAUCAUCUCUGCAGUUUAAAAUGCUCAGACAGCACUUCAGUGGUAGGAGUGAACUGCCCUCGUCACACUAAUAACAAGGCCUACUGGUGAAAGACUCUUUUCAACUGUCAGUUGGAUAAAAAGUGUCAUCAGGGCAUCACAUCAGACUGAACUCUUUGUCUGCUCACCUUUGAAAGGGACUAUGAAGUCAUUUCAGUGUUCAACACCAAGCCAUGUCGUCUCCUGCUGGAAUCAUCAAAAGUAAGCCAAUUUACAAUUAUGGGCUAAUGGCCUUUUUCAUUAUUAUUGUAAAUUAGUUUAUGUUCGGUGUACAAACUGGAUUUCAUGCUGAUGUUGCUGCCAGCUGUGUGUAUGAAUAUGUGGCUGUCGUGCCAGGCUAUGUUAUGCUGUUUGUCUUGUUGGAUCAGAAUCAGCUUGAUUGUCCAUGUAUGAGUAGACCUACACACAUAGAGGCUACCAGGAAUUUGACUCUGGUUAUUUUGCUCUCAUUGUACGACGGAAAUAGAAAUGCAGCU
Long non-coding RNA from Sebastes umbrosus (honeycomb rockfish), 593 nucleotides. RefSeq lists it as uncharacterized. NCBI's taxonomy places the organism in Eukaryota, Metazoa, Chordata, Actinopteri, Perciformes, Sebastidae. The record is from RefSeq and is a predicted model, not a curated record. The transcript has 2 exons.